Molecule: long non-coding RNA, 438 nt
Filed under: Androctonus crassicauda
Lineage: Eukaryota; Metazoa; Arthropoda; Arachnida; Scorpiones; Buthidae
Source: RNAcentral
CAAUCAGCAGUUGCUAACUUUUUUUUGUUAUGCAGAGUUCAUUAAAGAUGAUGUGGUUGCAGAAAACUCAGGUAGUGAUAACAAUCUGAUGAAGCCUUACUACAAGAACUUCAUUGCAAGGUCCCAUAAGUGCACAAAGACCUUGACUUUUCAGGUCUUGUGGUUUUCUUGGAUAUAGACAAGAACAUUGUAUAUAUGAAAGAAAUAUUGGACGAUGAGAUAAUUAAGCAAGUUUUGAAUCAGUAUACAGAAGAACAGUCCAAUAACGAUGAAGAAUGCAAGGUCGUCCCAAGAGUGAGGCUAUACUUAGCCAUCAAAUGGCUAUCAGGUUUGCAUUGUUUUUUUGAAACAGAUGAUAAUUCUGACAUACUUGCUUGCAUUGACUCUAUGGAAGAUUAUGUUUAUCAAAGUGUCACACUAAAGCAAACAAAAAUUAGU